This 465-nucleotide ribosomal RNA is filed under the name uncultured bacterium. RNAcentral's name for it is "partial 16S ribosomal RNA". It matches the Rfam family "Bacterial small subunit ribosomal RNA", at positions 28 to 507 of the family's 1533-position model. The record is from RNAcentral.
GACGAACGCUGGCGGCGUGCUUAACACAUGCAAGUCGAACGGAAAGGCCCUGCUUGCAGGGUACUCGAGUGGCGAACGGGUGAGUAACACGUGGGUGAUCUGCCCUGCACUUCGGGAUAAGCCUGGGAAACUGGGUCUAAUACCGGAUAGGAGCCCUUUUUAGUGUGAUGGUUGGAAAGUUUUUUCGGUGUAGGAUGAGCUCGCGGCCUAUCAGCUUGUUGGUGGGGUAAUGGCCUACCAAGGCGGCGACGGGUAGCCGGCCUGAGAGGGUGGACGGCCACAUUGGGACUGAGAUAAGGCCCAGACUCCUACGGGAGGCAGCGGUGGGGAAUAUUGCACAAUGGGCGCAAGCCUGAUGCAGCGACGCCGCGGGGGGGAUGACGGCCUUCGGGUUGGAAACUCCUUUCGCUAGGGACGAAGCUUUUUGUGACGGUACCUAGAGAAGAAGCACCGGCUAACUACGUG